CCUACGGGAGGCAGCAGUGAGGAAUAUUGGACAAUGGACGAGAGUCUGAACCAGCCACGCAGCGUGCAGGAUGAAUGCCCUCUGGGUUGUAAACUUCUUUUAUAUGGGAAUAAAUUGUUCCACGUGUGGGAUUUUGUAUGUACAAUAUGAAUAAGGAUCGGCUAACUCCGUGCCAGCCGCCGCGGUAAUACGGAGGAUCCGAGCGUUAUCCGGAUUUAUUGGGUUUAAAGGGAGAGUAGGGGGAUUGUUAAGUCAGGUGUGAAAGUUGGCGGCUCAACCGUAAAACUGCAGUUGAAACUGGCAGGCUUGAGUACAGUAGAGGUGGGCGGAAUUCGUGGUGUAGCGGUGAAAUGCGUAGAUAUCACGAAGAACACCGAUGGCGAAGGCAGCUCACUGGACUGCAACUGACACUGAGGCUCGAAAGUGUGGGGAGCAAACAGGAUUAGAUACCCGAGUAGUC
This 460-nucleotide ribosomal RNA is filed under the name uncultured bacterium. RNAcentral describes it as "partial 16S ribosomal RNA". It matches the Rfam family "Bacterial small subunit ribosomal RNA", at positions 338 to 795 of the family's 1533-position model. The record is from RNAcentral.